AAUAGUAGGUUUGCAAGAGGGUCUACAGUUUCUAAUGGUGGACAAAGAGAGAGUGGAGGGGGUUGGAGGAUGUUUAUGAGGUAGGAGGUGAAAAUUUAGAGUUGUUAGAUCUUAGAAAUAGUGAAGGAGGAAUAAAAAAAUUGCUAUAAGCAGGAGAAAAGGGAGAUCCUUGUGCAAGGAUUUCUCCUGCUUCUGCAACAAGAUGCUGGCUAUUAGUACACUCAGCAGGGAUUCCUCUGGUGUAUCCAAACCUGCAGGGACUUUGGUGGUGGUCUUUCAGGGCCUGGUUGUUUUCUCUAGAUGGAAGUGGUCAUGUCCCCAGUGAUGUUGGGCUUCUGGGCCUCAGCCGAUGUCACAAGAUGGAAGAUGUCCCAACUAAAGAUGGAAGUGGCAUCAGUGGAGAUGCAAGCCUUGGAGGGAUAAAGAUCUGGCAGAAGCUAUGAAGUAAGAGAAGGCAUCUAAAGGCAAACUGGGAUUAGGGACGCUGUCUAAUGACGCCAGACAGCCUCUGAACCUGCAUGCACAUCAGGAAAGGAGCCACCCAAGGGGUACUCAUUCACAACUCCUUGCUGGGAGGAGCAAGUUCCUGGAGGUGAAGGUGACCUUGGUGCCAGGUUUCGAGGAGGCAGAAGUUCUCUGGAGACAGACUUUGGAAGGAGCUCCCAUGGAAUCCUAAGCAGUCAAGGCCAUAAAUUCUCUCAGGGAUAAACAAAGUCUCCCUGGUGCUGGACAAUGGACUUGUUGAUAAGAAAAAGAAACUGCAAAGAGGACUUUGGUCCUUGAAAGAGAAACCUAAUAUCUGUUCCUUCAUCUGGAAUUUCUGGACCAGCUGUAAGAACCAGCAGACUGAAGAAGGAACCCCGAAGACUCACCAGGACCACAAGCACACCCAAGGCCAGGCAGACCACAAGCAGCUGACACACAGCCUACACCUGAGGAUGACUUCGAUCCCUGGGAUGAUCCUUUUUACAGUGGUGCUCGCUAUCUGUAUUAUCACAGUCUUAAGGAACAAAAAUGCUCAGGUCAAUGUGAAUGUCAGAAGUGACUUUCCAGGAUUCCCACCCGACUCCAAGCCCCCUACAUACAAAAAAUGAGAUCAAAUAUGCAGAUCAGCAAAAAGAAGACCUGCCUCUUCUCUGCCUCCAUAACCUGAUUCCUUUCUUUCCUGACAAGCUGAGGGCAAGGUCUCCCCCAGCUCACACCCUGCACUGCACCCUUGGAUUCAGCCCAAUGAGUCACACUGUUCUUCUGCUAAAGGGAGAGGGAUCUUACAUUAAUUUUAGCACCAAGGUCCUCCUUAACGAGUGUGUUCCUGUACACUUAUGGGGGGACAUCUUUGUGCAGGCUUUGUGCAAACAUGUGUCUGUAAUUCUCUGCCUUGGGCUUGUGGGUGAGGGGGAAAAUAUCUAGGCACCCAUCUUCUUCUUUCAAUCAUCCAUUCAUUAAUAAAUAUGGAUUAAGUAUC
Ictidomys tridecemlineatus (thirteen-lined ground squirrel) is the source of this 1465-nucleotide non-coding RNA. The record is from RefSeq and is a predicted model, not a curated record. NCBI's taxonomy places the organism in Eukaryota, Metazoa, Chordata, Mammalia, Rodentia, Sciuridae.